This 205-nucleotide long non-coding RNA is filed under the name Nicotiana benthamiana. Its description in RNAcentral is "long non-coding RNA (NBEN_LNC007933)". Lineage: Eukaryota; Viridiplantae; Streptophyta; Magnoliopsida; Solanales; Solanaceae. The record is from RNAcentral.
UUUAUUAUUAUGUAGUCCUUGCUAGGAGAUUUUAAAUAAAAAACAAAAGAAAAAAGUCAGAAAAUAAAGGAAAAAAAUAGGAAGAUGAUGAACUUCAAAAUUUUGUAUUUGGUUACCCACUCUUUUAUUGAGUAAUGAUUUCCCUAGUUCAUUGUUGGUAUGAGUAUUUUUUAAAAUGUGAUUGAUCUUGGAUUGGUUGAUUUUG